RNAcentral lists this long non-coding RNA (1429 nucleotides) under Theobroma cacao (cacao). RNAcentral's name for it is "long non-coding RNA (TCAC_LNC004626)". Lineage: Eukaryota; Viridiplantae; Streptophyta; Magnoliopsida; Malvales; Malvaceae. The record is from RNAcentral.
GCUUUGGUUAAGGGAUUCACUCACUUUUAGUGAAGAGAUCUUGACAAAUCUAUGUGAAUCAUCAUCAGAGGCAAGACAAUUGUGCUGCUAUGGUUUGAUAAGUCCUAGUUGCUGUGCAAGAAGUCACAAACGAAAACCAAGGAGGACUCGACCGAAGGAAAAGAGAUAUCAAAUGUUCAGGUAUGUGUCGAAAUCCUUCUCUUGUGUUUUUCCUAUAUUAGUUUCAAUUAAAGUGAUCCAUGGUUUAGAGAAUUGAAAAUUUUAAUAUUCCGUUGUGUAUGAUCCACCUUAGCAUGUUUCAAAUCCCAAACACGAAGAAGGAAAAAGGACAUUCAUCACAACACCAUAAUCAUUAAAGAUUUAUUUCAUAGCACUCCAUGGUAUGAAGAGUUUCACGCCAUAUCCCAAUACUCCGAGCGACCAUUGGGUUCCAAAGUCUCCUCCCUGAAUCCCUAACAACCGUCAUUCCAAUCGCACGAGACACUGCCCCAAGUGCUCACACACACCACACACUCUCUCACUCAUUUUCCUCAUCCUAAGCAAUUCUCUAAUCUAUAGCCUUAUAAUGUUGAUUCCGCACUUGUCCACUUGAGAUAGUUGAGGUUGAGGAAUUAAGUCAAUAUUGGUUUUUCCAGUAGAAAUUGAUUUCUAUGUUGAUAGGUGAACUACUUUUGUGUUCCAUUGUAUCUGAGAUGUCAUGUCUGAAGUGUGGCAUUUAUUAUAGAGCACUAUGGAAGGUCACAAAAUUAUGAGAAUCAGAAAUACUUUUGGAUGGUUGUCAAGAGAAUGAUCAACUAGUUUUCUGAACAAUUACGCAAUUGCUUUUUUCCUUUUUGCUUUCAUAUUUCAUAAUCAUUUCCUUUCUCUUUCAACUGUUAAAUUAUGAUUCCGGUUCCCUCUUACUGUGUCUUCACGAAGAACUUGAUACUGUAAAAGGUAUUCUUCUUCAAAAUCAUUUAUAUAUGUGUAAUGUAUAGUAUUUCAUGAUAAUGAUAACAUGAAUAAAUAUAUGACAAAUCAAGACGGAAACUGAUAAUUGGUAUCAAUCUUUGAUGGAAAACAAACUUUUGUUUUAUCUUAAUUCAAUUAAUGGAGUUGAAAAUAAUUUCUCUAUAUUCUAGCAUAACAAUUGUUUUGGGCAUGGCUUUAGUUGUUCGUCUAUAAAAAGUAGACGCUGGUAUGGAGGGUCAACUAGGGUUUGAAUUUAAGCUAUUUCAAGUUGAGAUUAUUUUGAAUUUAUGUUGUUGAAUUUUAAAACAAAAUUGAGUUUAACUCUAUGGAAUGAUAUUAUGAUGGGUAACAUAUUAAUUCUUGUGACAUAUGAAUUCCUAGAUUUUUAAUCUACAUUCAAAAUAGUGGGCAGAAUUUAAUAAUCCACCACUAUUGCAAGUAUUGUAGACCAAGGCAAGGGUCCAAGGCAGAAAAAGGC